Molecule: unclassified non-coding RNA, 1117 nt
Filed under: Hevea brasiliensis (rubber tree)
Lineage: Eukaryota; Viridiplantae; Streptophyta; Magnoliopsida; Malpighiales; Euphorbiaceae
Source: RNAcentral
ACAUCUCUUUCCAAGAUUUGAUAAGAUACCCAUAAGAUCAUUUGAUAGGACUUUUUAAACAGCCCACACUUUUUCCAAAUACUCAGAAAACACCAUACACCAUUAUUCCUAUACGUCUCUACCACAAAUUUAGAAUAGUAUCUUUAGAUGCCUAACCAGACUAAAAGAAGAGGAACAUGAUCAAACAGCAGCAUUGUCGACAAUCAUGGGUUCUGCAGCAGGCUCCUUUGUCUCUCCUCCAGCUCCAUUUGUGUCCAUAUUCUGCAACUUCGUCAUCUUUGCAAACAUGUUGCCAUAGAACUUGGCAUCCUUCUUGUUGUACUCUUUCAUCUUCUCCUUCAAAAUUUUAAAUUCCAACUUCACAUCCCUGUUAUUAGGAUCAAUCUCAAGUGCCUUCUUGAUGUCCUGCUCCGCUAAAUCUAAAUCUGCUUGCUGGAUAUAUGCUUGCGCUCUCCUGUACAGUGCCUUCACAUUCCUACCAUCAACCUCCAACACCUUGGUACAAAGCUUCUCCGCCUGCUUGUAGUCCUUCAACUUCAGCUUGCAUGCUGCAUUGUUAAGAUUGCACGAGACCUUAAGCACCUUAGAUUGCUUCUUCUCCUCCUCGCUGAAGGAGGUGUCAUGCUCAAUCAACUUAGCACCCUUUUCAUAUCUCUUAGAAGCCCUAGCAUAUUUCCCCAACUUGAACAAUGCAUUCCCCUCUUCCUUUUUCUUUCCGGCUGCUUCAAUCUUCUCUGAAGUGUUCAUGUCCCAUGAUUCUUUUUCCUUCACGAAAGAUACCAGCUCAAUUUCAUAAACAACAGUUGAGUUGGGAGGAAUCACAGCAAGAUCCUGCUUAGACUCAGCCGAACCAAAUGCAUGCUCAGGAGGAACAGUCACCAACGCAAUCUCACCCUUCUUCAUAGUGAUAACAGCUCUGUCCAAUCCCUCAAUGACUUGCUCUUCAUCAGUUUUGAACUCAAAAGGCUCUUCAUCAUCAUGACCCUUCUUCAAAAAUAUGGUCCCGUCCUGGAGCCUUCCAAUCAAAUUUACUUUCACAACUGAGCCUUCAUUGGGGCGCUCAUAUCCCUCUGCUUCCUUGAUAAUUUUCUUGAGUAUCUUCUUAUCAUCCCCAAUG